Molecule: ribosomal RNA, 465 nt
Filed under: uncultured bacterium
Lineage: Bacteria
Description: partial 16S ribosomal RNA
Rfam family: Bacterial small subunit ribosomal RNA
Source: RNAcentral
CCUACGGGUGGCAGCAGUGGGGAAUAUUGCGCAAUGGGCGAAAGCCUGACGCAGCGACGCCGCGUGAGGGAUGAAGGUCUUCGGAUCGUAAACCUCUGUCAGCAGGGAAGAACGGUCCCUGUGCUACUCAGCAGUGAAUUGACGGUACCUGCAAAGGAAGCACCGGCUAACUCCGUGCCAGCAGCCGCGGUAAUACGGAGGGUGCGAGCGUUAAUCGGAAUUACUGGGCGUAAAGCGCUCGUAGGCGGUAUGUCAAGUCAAGGGUGAAAUCCCCGCGCUCAACGUGGGAACUGCCUUUGAAACUGGCAAACUGGAGUGUGUGAGAGGAUAGUGGAAUUCCAGGUGUAGGAGUGAAAUCCGUAGAUAUCUGGAGGAACAUCAGUGGCGAAGGCGACUAUCUGGAACAUAACUGACGCUGAGGAGCGAAAGCGUGGGUAGCAAACAGGAUUAGAUACCCCAGUAGUC